GAUGAACGCUGGCGGCGUGCCUAAUACAUGCCAGUCGAGCGAACAGACGAGGAGCUUGCUCCUCUGACGUUAGCGGCGGACGGGUGAGUAACACGUGGAUAACCUACCUAUAAGACUGGGAUAACUUCGGGAAACCGGAGCUAAUACCGGAUAAUAUAUUGAACCGCAUGGUUCAAUAGUGAAAGACGGUUUUGCUGUCACUUAUAGAUGGAUCCGCGCCGCAUUAGCUAGUUGGUAAGGUAACGGCUUACCAAGGCGACGAUGCGUAGCCGACCUGAGAGGGUGAUCGGCCACACUGGAACUGAGACACGGUCCAGACUCCUACGGGAGGCAGCAGUAGGGAAUCUUCCGCAGUGGGCGAAAGCCUGACGGAGCAACGCCGCGUGAGUGAUGAAGGUCUUCGGAUCGUAAAACUCUGUUAUUAGGGAAGAACAAAUGUGUAAGUAACUAUGCACGUCUUGACGGUACCUAAUCAGAAAGCCACGGCUAACUACGUG
Molecule: ribosomal RNA, 497 nt
Filed under: uncultured bacterium
Lineage: Bacteria
Description: partial 16S ribosomal RNA
Rfam family: Bacterial small subunit ribosomal RNA
Source: RNAcentral